AGCUUGACUGCGAGCGUGACGGCGCGAGCAGGUGCGAAAGCAGGUCAUAGUGAUCCGGUGGUUCUGAAUGGAAGGGCCAUCGCUCAACGGAUAAAAGGUACUCCGGGGAUAACAGGCUGAUACCGCCCAAGAGUUCAUAUCGACGGCGGUGUUUGGCACCUCGAUGUCGGCUCAUCACAUCCUGGGGCUGAAGUAGGUCCCAAGGGUAUGGCUGUUCGCCAUUUAAAGUGGUACGCGAGCUGGGUUUAGAACGUCGUGAGACAGUUCGGUCCCUAUCUGCCGUGGGCGCUGGAGAAUUGAGGGGGGCUGCUCCUAGUACGAGAGGACCGGAGUGGACGCAUCACUGGUGUUCGGGUUGUCAUGCCAAUGGCACUGCCCGGUAGCUAAAUGCGGAAGAGAUAAGUGCUGAAAGCAUCUAAGCACGAAACUUGCCCCGAGAUGAGUUCUCCCUGAGACUUUAAGUCUCCUGAAGGAACGUUGAAGACGACGACGUUGAUAGGCCGGGUGUGUAAGCGCAGCGAUGCGUUGAGCUAACCGGUACUAAUGAACCGUGAGGCUUAACCUU
This 565-nucleotide ribosomal RNA is filed under the name Klebsiella pneumoniae. RNAcentral describes it as "partial 23S ribosomal RNA". It matches the Rfam family "Bacterial large subunit ribosomal RNA", at positions 2366 to 2925 of the family's 2925-position model. The record is from RNAcentral. Lineage: Bacteria; Pseudomonadati; Pseudomonadota; Gammaproteobacteria; Enterobacterales; Enterobacteriaceae. RNAcentral also lists the same sequence under 1 other name.